GAUGAACGCUGGCGGCGUGCCUAAUACAUGCAAGUCGAGCGAACAGACGAGGAGCUUGCUCCUCUGACGUUAGCGGCGGACGGGUGAGUAACACGUGGAUAACCUACCUAUAAGACUGGGAUAACUUCGGGAAACCGGAGCUAAUACCGGAUAACAUGUUGAACCGCAUGGUUCAACAGUGAAAGACGGUCUUGCUGUCACUUAUAGAUGGAUCCGCGCCGCAUUAGCUAGUUGGUAAGGUAACGGCUUACCAAGGCAACGAUGCGUAGCCGCCCUAAGAGGGUGAUCGGCCACACUGGAACUGAGACACGGUCCAGCCUCCUACGGGAGGCAGCAGUAGGGAAUCUUCCGCAAUGGGCGAAAGCCUGACGGAGCAACGCCGCGUGAGUGAAGAAGGUCUUCGGAUCGUAAAACUCUGUUACUAGGGAAGAACAAAUGUGUAAGUAACUAUGCACGUCUUGACGGUACCUAAUCAGAAAGCCACGGCUAACUACGUGCCAGCCGCCGCCGUAA
RNAcentral lists this ribosomal RNA (513 nucleotides) under uncultured bacterium. Its description in RNAcentral is "partial 16S ribosomal RNA". It matches the Rfam family "Bacterial small subunit ribosomal RNA", at positions 28 to 523 of the family's 1533-position model. The record is from RNAcentral.